CAGGGAGACAACAAAGUGUUAAAUAUUAAUUUUGUCACCUUAGGUCGAUCGGUAUCUCACAUUCUUAAUUUAUUAAGGAUUUUAUUUCCUAAGUUUUUUCUAGGUCACACCCAUCACUUUUCCUGGGCCAUUAGCUCAGGUGGUUAGAGCGCACCCCUGAUAAGGGUGAGGUCCCUGGUUCAAGUCCAGGAUGGCCCAUAUCUCUAUGUUGGGGGUAUAGCUCAGUUGGUAGAGCGCCUGCUUUGCAAGCAGGAUGUCAGCGGUUCGAGUCCGCUUACCUCCACUGAUUACCACCUCUUCCAUGAUUUGUAGAAGGGAAAUUUUUAUUGGUGUGACCAAGUUCUGAACGAAUCUAGCUUCCUAAUAAAUUGUAUUAAGAUGCUGGACUCAUUGAAUUAAUUUCAUUGUUUUCAGAGAACCUUGACAACUGCAUAGAUUAUUUUAAAGACAAUAAGCAUCUUAAAUGAUGCAGAUUUUUAUUUUUGCAAAUGCAUUAAUAACAAUUCUAUUAAGCUGAUGCUUCAAUUUUGAAGUUAUU
RNAcentral lists this transfer RNA (538 nucleotides) under uncultured cyanobacterium. Its description in RNAcentral is "partial miscellaneous RNA". The stretch from base 211 to 283 matches the Rfam family "tRNA". Lineage: Bacteria; Bacillati; Cyanobacteriota. The record is from RNAcentral.